RNAcentral lists this ribosomal RNA (119 nucleotides) under Pteropus alecto (black flying fox). The record is from RNAcentral. Lineage: Eukaryota; Metazoa; Chordata; Mammalia; Chiroptera; Pteropodidae.
GUCUAUGGCCAUGCCACCCUGAACAAGCCUGAUCCUGUCUGAUCUCGGAAGCUCAGCAGGGUCGGGCCUGGUUAGUACUUGGAUGGGAGACCACCUAGGAAGACCAGGUGUUGUACACG